UGGGGAAUUUUGGACAAUGGGCGAAAGCCUGAUCCAGCAAUGCCGCGUGUGUGAAGAAGGCCUUCGGGUUGUAAAGCACUUUUGUCCGGAAAGAAAUGGCUCUGGUUAAUACCUGGGGUCGAUGACGGUACCGGAAGAAUAAGGACCGGCUAACUACGUGCCAGCAGCCGCGGUAAUACGGAGGGUCCAAGCGUUAAUCGGAAUUACUGGGCGUAAAGCGUGCGCAGGCGGUUGUGCAAGACCGAUGUGAAAUCCCCGAGCUUAACUUGGGAAUUGCAUUGGUGACUGCACGGCUAGAGUGUGUCAGAGGGGGGUAGAAUUCCACGUGUAGCAGUGAAAUGCGUAGAGAUGUGGAGGAAUACCGAUGGCGAAGGCAGCCCCCUGGGAUAACACUGACGCUCAUGCACGAAAGCGUGGGGAGCAAACAGG
This 429-nucleotide ribosomal RNA is filed under the name Bacillota bacterium. RNAcentral describes it as "Firmicutes bacterium partial 16S ribosomal RNA". It matches the Rfam family "Bacterial small subunit ribosomal RNA", at positions 355 to 776 of the family's 1533-position model. The record is from RNAcentral. Lineage: Bacteria; Bacillati; Bacillota.